Molecule: ribosomal RNA, 281 nt
Filed under: uncultured Burkholderiales bacterium
Lineage: Bacteria; Pseudomonadati; Pseudomonadota; Betaproteobacteria; Burkholderiales
Description: partial 16S ribosomal RNA
Rfam family: Bacterial small subunit ribosomal RNA
Source: RNAcentral
GUGCCAGCCGCCGCGGUAAUACGUAGGGUGCAAGCGUUAAUCGGAAUUACUGGGCGUAAAGCGUGCGCAGGCGGUUUUGUAAGUCUGUCGUGAAAGCCCCGGGCUCAACCUGGGAAUUGCGAUGGAGACUGCAAGGCUUGAAUCUGGCAGAGGGGGGUAGAAUUCCACGUGUAGCAGUGAAAUGCGUAGAGAUGUGGAGGAACACCGAUGGCGAAGGCAGCCCCCUGGGUCAAGAUUGACGCUCAUGCACGAAAGCGUGGGGAGCAAACAGGAUUAGAUAC